Molecule: long non-coding RNA, 1633 nt
Organism: Sorghum bicolor (sorghum)
Lineage: Eukaryota; Viridiplantae; Streptophyta; Magnoliopsida; Poales; Poaceae
Exons: 5
Source: RefSeq, a predicted model, not a curated record
UCCCCUCUCCCGAUGGCCUUCCUGGCUCCUCUGUAUGGGGCUCCUCCAUCCGAUGGCCGCGUCCUCCGCUCCCAUCUGGCGACGCCUCCUCCAUCCCGGUGGCCAGUCUCCCACACCACAACAUCGGCGUGCCCCCCCCCCCCCCCCCCCCACCCCCCCCAUCCUGGAUGGCUGGAUACUGCGUGGCAGAGGGCCGCGGGAUCCUGGCCCCAAGCGGCGGGGUCCUCCAACUCCGGUGCCCAGCAGGUCAUCCUCGAACUCUGGCGCACGUCGCCUAGUAGUCCUUUUGCAGAUCCUGUCGGCAGGAGGCCCAACCCCCUCAGAUCCGGUAAAGUGAGCAGAUCGAGUAGGAUGAGGAGCGAGUAGAUUAACAAGUAGUGGGUAGGGGUGGUCCCUCCUCUCCUAGCCCAGGUAACAAGCUCUGAUGGCACAUCCUGGGCAGCACGUGAUCUCCAAUGAACUGCUUGAGAGGGGAGGUGCCUGCCCAUUCUAUGGUGUCACAGUGGCAGGAGCUUGAGCGCCAGGCGCCAUGCCACUUCCAUUCCCUCACACGGCACAGUUAGUGUCAUAGCUUUAAGCUCUCCCAGGCCAUGAGCGCCGAGCCCCCGACCCCUUCCCCAACAUCUUCGGCAAUGUCAACAGCACCAGCACCUCUUUCUUAGUGACCAUGGUCCUCAUCUCGCAUCUCUAGCAAAGGCACCCUGCCACAUCUUCAGCAAGCAUGGUUUUCUGUAUAAUAUUGAUGCGUCCAUUUAGAAACAUUAUUUUUUGCCUGCGUACAUAAAUUUAUAUGUAUACUAAUUAUAAUUUGGUAAUCUGACUAAAUAAAAUAUUUAUUUAUGAUGGUUUGUGCUUAUCCUUGAUUUAAUGUGAAUGCAACUCAAAUCUUUUCUUGCGAAUUUAUUUUUGUUCUUCCAUACAUAAGUUUCUAUGCAUAGAAAUUAUAACUUGGCAAUCUGACUAAAUAAAUAAUGGUUUUCACAUAUUGUUUUCAUGUACUUUGAUUUUUUAUUUCUAUACUUCUUGAGCCAACCGUGUAAUUAAGAAAUCAUCUGGAAUUCUAUACAUUGUUAGAGCACAUUUUAUACAUUGUUGGAACAUAAUUUUAUACAUUUAUAUAUUGUUGGAACUCAAUUUUAUAUGUCUUAUGCUUUUCAAUUUUCUAGUAUUUGCAUCAAUGUGAGUUUCUAUUCAAGCAUUAGUGAUUUUCUAUGCAUACAUUCAAUUUUAUUUGAUAAGAGGCUAAAAUUGCCUGUUUUUUUUGAAACUACAUAUAUGAACGUGGUGCCAAUUGGUGGUGGCGGAUGGGGGCGUGGACAACGGUAAUGGCCUGGCGCGGUCAAGGAUGUCUUCCACAGGAUGGUCGAAAGGAUUCCUCUAUUUGGUUUGAGGUCAAUGGUGGCUCGUCAUAGGACAUGGCUUGCGACGUCCGCAACAUCCUUGGCUUGUGACAAUGGCGUAGUUUGAUAUUCGAUAUAGUUGAUAGGUUAAUGUAAAAAGUUAGUUUUUCAUAUGUUGUGGUUAUAUGCUUGGAUGAUACGAGUGAAACUAUUGGUUUCUAUGUACUGUUGGGUUUCAAUAUUUGGUUGACUUAGUGUCUAUGCAUAUUAUGAGUUGGGAACAUUAUGGAUAG